Molecule: ribosomal RNA, 484 nt
Filed under: uncultured bacterium
Lineage: Bacteria
Description: partial 16S ribosomal RNA
Rfam family: Bacterial small subunit ribosomal RNA
Source: RNAcentral
AUUGAACGCUGGCGGCAGGCCUAACACAAGCAAGUCGAGCGGAUGAAGGGAGCUUGCUCCUGGAUUCAGCGGCGGACGGGUGAGUAAUGCCUAGGAAUCUGCCUGGUAGUGGGGGAUAACGUCCGGAAACGGGCGCUAAUACCGCAUACGUCCUGAGGGAGAAAGUGGGGGAUCUUCGGACCUCACGCUAUCAGAUGAGCCUAGGUCGGAUUAGCUAGUUGGUGGGGUAAAGGCCUACCAAGGCGACGAUCCGUAACUGGUCUGAGAGGAUGAUCAGUCACACUGGAACUGAGAUACGGUCCAGACUCCUACGGGAGGCAGCAGUGGGGAAUAUUGGACAAUGGGCGAAAGCCUGAUCCAGCCAUGCCGCGUGUGUGAAGAAGGUCUUCGGAUUGUAAAGCACUUUAAGUUGGGAGGAAGGGCAGUAAGUUAAUACCUUGCUGUUUUGACGUUACCAACAGAAUAAGCACCGGCUAACUUCGUG